RNAcentral lists this ribosomal RNA (49 nucleotides) under Onosma visianii. RNAcentral's name for it is "partial 5.8S ribosomal RNA". It matches the Rfam family "5.8S ribosomal RNA", at positions 2 to 50 of the family's 154-position model. Rfam says of the family: 5.8S ribosomal RNA (5.8S rRNA) is a component of the large subunit of the eukaryotic ribosome. It is transcribed by RNA polymerase I as part of the 45S precursor that also contains 18S and 28S rRNA. Functionally, it is thought that 5.8S rRNA may be involved in ribosome translocation. RNAcentral also lists the same sequence under 2 other names. The record is from RNAcentral. Lineage: Eukaryota; Viridiplantae; Streptophyta; Magnoliopsida; Boraginales; Boraginaceae.
ACUCUCGGCAACGGAUAUCUCGGCUCUCGCAUCGAUGAAGAACGCAGCA